GUGAAUCAUCAAAUUUUUGAACGCAAAUUGCACUCCCUGGUAUUCCGGGGAGUAUGCCUGUUUGAGGGUCGUUAGAAUAAAAAACCGAGGCGUCGCUCUGGUUUUUAAGGGUGAUCGCGUCGGACUUAAGCCGUCGUUCAGAUGUUAAUUCAUGUCGAAGUGGCUUAAAUUUCAUCCAUUCGGUACGAUGAAAGCGUAGUUAAGAUAAAUUUUGAUUAAUAAGGCGCGAUGCGGUACCAUCUGAG
RNAcentral lists this unclassified non-coding RNA (245 nucleotides) under Glomeraceae sp. RNAcentral describes it as "partial contains 5.8S ribosomal RNA and internal transcribed spacer 2". The stretch from base 1 to 71 matches the Rfam family "5.8S ribosomal RNA", at positions 84 to 154 of the family's 154-position model. Lineage: Eukaryota; Fungi; Glomeromycota; Glomeromycetes; Glomerales; Glomeraceae. The record is from RNAcentral.